UACGGAGGGUGCAAGCGUUAUCCGGAUUCACUUGGUUUAAAGGGUGCGUAGGUGGGCUAGUAAGUCCGUGGUGAAAUCCCCGAGCUUAACUCGGGAACUGCCGUGGAUACUAUUAGUCUUGAAUAUCGUGGAGGUAAGCGGAAUAUGUCAUGUAGCGGUGAAAUGCUUAGAUAUGACAUAGAACACCGAUAGCGGAGGCAGCUUACUACGCGAUUAUUGACACUGAGGCACGAAAGCGUGGGGAUCAAACAGG
RNAcentral lists this ribosomal RNA (253 nucleotides) under uncultured bacterium. RNAcentral describes it as "partial 16S ribosomal RNA". It matches the Rfam family "Bacterial small subunit ribosomal RNA", at positions 524 to 776 of the family's 1533-position model. The record is from RNAcentral.